UACGGGGGGAGCAAGCGUUGUUCGGAUUUACUGGGCGUAAAGGGCGCGUAGGCGGCCAGCACAAGUCAGUUGUGAAAUCUCCGGGCUUAACUCGGAAAGGUCAACUGAUACUGUGCGGCUAGAGUGCAGAAGGGGCAACUGGAAUUCUCGGUGUAGCGGUGAAAUGCGUAGAGAUCGGGAGGAAGGCCGGUGGCGAAGGCGGCGCUCUGGAACGUUUCUGACGCUGAGGCUCGAAAGCGUGGGGAGCAAACAGG
This 254-nucleotide ribosomal RNA is filed under the name uncultured bacterium. Its description in RNAcentral is "partial 16S ribosomal RNA". It matches the Rfam family "Bacterial small subunit ribosomal RNA", at positions 524 to 776 of the family's 1533-position model. The record is from RNAcentral.